AUGUACCGCUCGUACAUUCCGGUUCCCGUGCGCCGGCCACACCCGCCUGGCAGCCGCCCACGCCGUUUUGUUGGCC
RNAcentral lists this small RNA (76 nucleotides) under Xanthomonas dyei pv. eucalypti. RNAcentral's name for it is "sX9 sRNA". It matches the Rfam family "Xanthomonas sRNA sX9". The record is from RNAcentral. RNAcentral also lists the same sequence under 1 other name. Lineage: Bacteria; Pseudomonadati; Pseudomonadota; Gammaproteobacteria; Lysobacterales; Lysobacteraceae.